Molecule: microRNA, 22 nt
Filed under: Drosophila erecta
Lineage: Eukaryota; Metazoa; Arthropoda; Insecta; Diptera; Drosophilidae
Description: der-miR-2498a-5p
Source: miRBase by way of RNAcentral
UUAAGUCUGUUAUGCAUAGUUU